RNAcentral lists this ribosomal RNA (468 nucleotides) under uncultured bacterium. RNAcentral describes it as "partial 16S ribosomal RNA". It matches the Rfam family "Bacterial small subunit ribosomal RNA", at positions 28 to 507 of the family's 1533-position model. The record is from RNAcentral.
GACGAACGCUGGCGGCGUGCUUAACACAUGCAAGUCGAACGGAAAGGCCCUGCUUUUGUGGGGUGCUCGAGUGGCGAACGGGUGAGUAACACGUGAGUAACCUGCCCUUGACUGUGGGAGAACUUUAGGAAACUGGGGCUAAUACCGGAUAGGAGCUCCUGCUGCAUGGUGGGGGUUGGAAAGUUUCGGCGGUUGGGGAUGGACUCGCGGCUUAUCAGCUUGUUGGUGGGGUAGUGGCUUACCAAGGCUUUGACGGGUAGCCGGCCUGAGAGGGUGACCGGCCACCUUGGGCCUGCGAUACGGCCCAGACUCCUACGGGCGGCAGCAGUGGGGAAUCUUGCACAAUGGGCGGAAGCCUGAUGCAGCAACGCCGCGUGCGGGAUGACGGCCUUCGGGUUGUAAACCGCUUUCGCCUGUGACGAAGCGUGAGUGACGGUAAUGGGUCAAGAAGCACCGGCUAACUACGUG